AGAUUAAGCCAUGCAUGUCUCAGUACAAGCCGUCCUGUACGGUGAAACCGCGAAAGGCUCAGUAAAUCAGUUAUGGUUCCUUAGAUUGUACCCACUUUACUUGGAUAACUGUGGUAAUUCUAGAGCUAAUACAUGCCGACAGAGUUCCGACCAGCGCCGGAUACGGUUCGCCGUGCUCGGUGUUCGGAAGGAACGCUCUUAUUAGAUCAAAACCGGCCAAGCACUCGUUCGCGUUUCGGCGCGUUCGGCUGUAAGCGGCCCGCGCAAAGACUUGACGACUCUGAAUAAUUUCGAGCUGAUCGCACGGUCUCGCACCGGCGACGUAUCUUUCAAAUGUCUGCCUUAUCAACUGUCGACGGUAGGUUCGAUGCCUACCGUGGUGGUAACGGGUAACGGGGAAUCAGGGUUCGAUUCCGGAGAGGGAGCCUGAGAAACGGCUACCACAUCCAAGGAAGGCAGCAGGCGCGCAAAUUACCCACUCCCAGCUCGGGGAGGUAGUGACGAAAAAUAACGAUACGGGACUCAUCCGAGGCCCCGUAAUCGGAAUGAGUACACUUUAAAACCUUGGUCACACGAGGAUCAAU
RNAcentral lists this ribosomal RNA (584 nucleotides) under Eriococcus sp. CA1. RNAcentral's name for it is "bacterial SSU rRNA". It matches the Rfam family "Eukaryotic small subunit ribosomal RNA", at positions 41 to 548 of the family's 1831-position model. The record is from RNAcentral. Lineage: Eukaryota; Metazoa; Arthropoda; Insecta; Hemiptera; Eriococcidae.